Molecule: ribosomal RNA, 429 nt
Filed under: Bacteroidota bacterium
Lineage: Bacteria; Pseudomonadati; Bacteroidota
Description: Bacteroidetes bacterium partial 16S ribosomal RNA
Rfam family: Bacterial small subunit ribosomal RNA
Source: RNAcentral
UAGGGAAUCUUCCGCAAUGGGCGAAAGCCUGACGGAGCAACGCCGCGUGAGUGAUGAAGGUCUUCGGAUCGUAAAACUCUGUUAUUAGGGAAGAACAAAUGUGUAAGUAACUAUGCACAUCUUGACGGUACCUAAUCAGAAAGCCACGGCUAACUACGUGCCAGCAGCCGCGGUAAUACGUAGGUGGCAAGCGUUAUCCGGAAUUAUUGGGCGUAAAGCGCGCGUAGGCGGUUUUUUAAGUCUGAUGUGAAAGCCCACGGCUCAACCGUGGAGGGUCAUUGGAAACUGGAAAACUUGAGUGCAGAAGAGGAAAGUGGAAUUCCAUGUGUAGCGGUGAAAUGCGCAGAGAUAUGGAGGAACACCAGUGGCGAAGGCGACUUUCUGGUUUGUAACUGACGCUGAUGUGCGAAAGCGUGGGGAUCAAACAGG